Molecule: unclassified non-coding RNA, 399 nt
Filed under: Declieuxia aspalathoides
Lineage: Eukaryota; Viridiplantae; Streptophyta; Magnoliopsida; Gentianales; Rubiaceae
Description: partial external transcribed spacer
Source: RNAcentral
GGUAGCCUUCCUGGAAGACUUCGGGCCGCGAGGCACGGUGCCACCGCGACGCCGAGAGUCGUUCGGACGAGCGCGUUACGCGCCUGUUUUGGGCAGAUGGAGGUCGGAGACCCCGUGCCCACCGCAUUUUCCGCAUCCCCGAGAACGGGCGAUCGAUCGAGGGCCGCGACGACAGCCGAAGGAGCGCGAGUGCCGCGGAACACGAAAGCCGCCUGAGUUCACCCGAAGCCGCACCGUGCGAACGGGAAGCCCCUGGGCGAACGGGACAAGUUUCGACAUACGAAUUCCUUCGAACUAGGUAUGCAACACAGGAAACCGGGAACCCGAACGAGGCCGUAGCUCUCGCAAAACAACUGAAGAGCAUUGCACGGUAGAAGUCGCUGCACCGGGCAGGGAUCC